This is a long non-coding RNA of Oncorhynchus tshawytscha (Chinook salmon), 808 nucleotides long. NCBI's taxonomy places the organism in Eukaryota, Metazoa, Chordata, Actinopteri, Salmoniformes, Salmonidae. The record is from Ensembl.
CUGCCUUGUUCAGGGGCAGAACGACAGAUUUUCACCUUGUCAGCUCGGGGGAUUCAGUCUUGCAACCUUACAGUUAACUAGUCCAACGCUCUAACCACCUGCCUCUCAUUGCACUCCACGAGGAGCCUGCCUGUUACGCGAAUGCAGUAGAAGCCAAGUGGAAGAAGUGGAUGGAAGAUUCUCAGGACACAGUACACCUAGGCCAGGAAGGAGGCACCCUCAGGUAGUGCUGGUGGAAGGGCUAUAGGAAGACACAUCUCCAUCCUUCAGCACUUUCUGGAGCCCCAUACUGCAUAAUGGAUGAGGCCCAUCCAGCAACAGGCGGUACAGCCUGCAUUUCCCCCCUCAUAUGAAGCCAAACACCAGUCAGCAAAACCACAAUAACUCGUGGGUUGGGAUGGCUCCUUGUACAAGCACCCGAAGGCACAAUGACGAGGAGGAAGAUUAGUUUGGGAAGGUAGAGGACCAUGACUCUCUCAGCACCAUUUAGAAGGCCCUGGAUAAAUUCUGCCAUGCUGAUGAGGAUGGUUCCUUUUGGCUGAUCCCUGGAGUGAAGAACACAAAGCCUUUUACCAACAGCUGGUGGAUGAGAUUGGGGCACACUGCCAGAUGAUGCACCAACAACAGUAGCUAGUGAACCAGCAGCUGCCCCUAUCUCCAUGUAAUGAAAUCACCAUCAAUAUUGCACAGACCAUUUUGUUUUCUUCAUCUUAUUGCAUGUUUAUAUACACGUUCCCUUUGUUUCAUUACAAGGGGUUAUGCUUUUUUUUCAUUAUUUGGGGUUAUUCUUAACUUUUUUAGUUGUACA